RNAcentral lists this ribosomal RNA (1441 nucleotides) under uncultured bacterium. Its description in RNAcentral is "bacterial SSU rRNA". It matches the Rfam family "Bacterial small subunit ribosomal RNA". The record is from RNAcentral.
GCUAUCUACAGGCUUAACACAUGCAAGUCGAGGGGCAGCAUGGCCUUAGCUUGCUAAGGCCGAUGGCGACCGGCGCACGGGUGAGUAACACGUAUCCAACCUGCCGUCUACUCUUGGACAGCCUUCUGAAAGGAAGAUUAAUACAAGAUGGCAUCAUGAGUCCGCAUGUUCACAUGAUUAAAGGUAUUCCGGUAGACGAUGGGGAUGCGUUCCAUUAGAUAGUAGGCGGGGUAACGGCCCACCUAGUCUUCGAUGGAUAGGGGUUCUGAGAGGAAGGUCCCCCACAUUGGAACUGAGACACGGUCCAAACUCCUACGGGAGGCAGCAGUGAGGAAUAUUGGUCAAUGGGCGAGAGCCUGAACCAGCCAAGUAGCGUGAAGGAUGACUGCCCUAUGGGUUGUAAACUUCUUUUAUAAAGGAAUAAAGUCGGGUAUGGAUACCCGUUUGCAUGUACUUUAUGAAUAAGGAUCGGCUAACUCCGUGCCAGCAGCCGCGGUAAUACGGAGGAUCCGAGCGUUAUCCGGAUUUAUUGGGUUUAAAGGGAGCGUAGAUGGAUGUUUAAGUCAGUUGUGAAAGUUUGCGGCUCAACCGUAAAAUUGCAGUUGAUACUGGAUAUCUUGAGUGCAGUUGAGGCAGGCGGAAUUCGUGGUGUAGCGGUGAAGUGCUUAGAUAUCACGAAGAACUCCGAUUGCGAAGGCAGCCUGCUAAGCUGCAACUGACAUUGAGGCUCGAAAGUGUGGGUAUCAAACAGGAUUAGAUACCCUGGUAGUCCACACGGUAAACGAUGAAUACUCGCUGUUUGCGAUAUACUGCAAGCGGCCAAGCGAAAGCGUUAAGUAUUCCACCUGGGGAGUACGCCGGCAACGGUGAAACUCAAAGGAAUUGACGGGGGCCCGCACAAGCGGAGGAACAUGUGGUUUAAUUCGAUGAUACGCGAGGAACCUUACCCGGGCUUAAAUUGCAGAUGAAUUACGGUGAAAGCCGUAAGCCGCAAGGCAUCUGUGAAGGUGCUGCAUGGCUGUCGUCAGCUCGUGCCGUGAGGUGUCGGCUUAAGUGCCAUAACGAGCGCAACCCUUGUUGUCAGUUACUAACAGGUUCCGCUGAGGACUCUGACAAGACUGCCAUCGUAAGAUGUGAGGAAGGUGGGGAUGACGUCAAAUCAGCACGGCCCUUACGUCCGGGGCUACACACGUGUUACAAUGGGGGGUACAGAGGGCCGCUACCACGCGAGUGGAUGCCAAUCCCCAAAACCUCUCUCAGUUCGGACUGGAGUCUGCAACCCGACUCCACGAAGCUGGAUUCGCUAGUAAUCGCGCAUCAGCCACGGCGCGGUGAAUACGUUCCCGGGCCUUGUACACACCGCCCGUCAAGCCAUGGGAGCCGGGGGUACCUGAAGUGCGUAACCGCGAGGAGCGCCCUAGGGUAAAACUGGUGACUGGGG